Molecule: ribosomal RNA, 253 nt
Filed under: uncultured bacterium
Lineage: Bacteria
Description: partial 16S ribosomal RNA
Rfam family: Bacterial small subunit ribosomal RNA
Source: RNAcentral
UACGGGGGGGGCAAGCGUUGUUCGGAAUUACUGGGCGUAAAGGGCUCGUAGGCGGCCAACUAAGUCCGACGUGAAAUCCCCAGGCUUAACCUGGGAACUGCGUCGGAUACUGGAUGGCUUGAAUCCGGGAGAGGGAUGCGGAAUUCCAGGUGUAGCGGUGAAAUGCGUAGAUAUCGGAAAGAACACCAACGGCGAAAGCACUCUGCUGGGCCGACACUGACACUGAGAGACGAAAGCUAGGGGAGCGAAUGGG